This 253-nucleotide ribosomal RNA is filed under the name uncultured bacterium. RNAcentral describes it as "partial 16S ribosomal RNA". It matches the Rfam family "Bacterial small subunit ribosomal RNA", at positions 524 to 776 of the family's 1533-position model. The record is from RNAcentral.
UACGGGGGGGGCAAGCGUUGUUCGGAAUUACUGGGCGGAAAGGGCUCGUAGGCGGCCAACUAAGUCGGAUGUGAAAUCCCCAGGCUUAACCUGGGAACUGCAUCCGAUACUGGAUGGCUUGAAUUCGGGAGAGGGAUGCAGAAUUCCAGGUGUAGCGGUGAAAUGCGUAGAUAUCUGGAGGAAUACCGGUGGCGAAGGUGGCAUCCUGGACCGAGAUUGACGCUGAUGAGCGAAAGCUAGGGGAGCAAACGGG